Molecule: non-coding RNA, 177 nt
Filed under: Halieaceae bacterium
Lineage: Bacteria; Pseudomonadati; Pseudomonadota; Gammaproteobacteria; Cellvibrionales; Halieaceae
Description: 6S RNA
Rfam family: 6S / SsrS RNA
About the family: E. coli 6S RNA was the first non coding RNA to be sequenced, but its function was unknown until recently. It consists of 184 nucleotides that fold into an extended hairpin structure with a large single-stranded internal bulge.
Source: RNAcentral
GGAUACCUGGUGCAUUCGCCAGAUGGUCGGUUCUCUACCCGAUACAUGUAACUCAGGAGGUUAUCCGCCGUUGAUGUGUGCAUGUCCGCGCCGCGGGAAGCCUGAUUCAAUGCAAUAACCUCCGCCCUGGACCGUCGGGUUCAAGGGCAAGAUCAUCAGCGGUGCUCCGGGGAUCCC